GUGGGAAACUGUAGGCGGUCUCUGGGUGGACCAAACGGAAAAACUCCAGUUUGUCGAUGUGGAGGUUACAGAUAGACUUCAUUAUGGGCAGCUUGGACACCAUCUGAUGGGACAAAUUAAACACAAAGAUGUGCUGUUCAAAUGGAAAUAGGAAUAAUCUGACAGGUCUGAAAACUCCCAGAUCUCAGAAGCUCAGUGACAUUAGAUUCUUCACUACAUGGAAUGAUUGAAGAAAAAUAAUCACCAGGGGAUAGAAGGACGGCAGCACUAAACAGAGCCAUCUCCUCAUCGGACAGCUGCAGACGGCAGAGUCCUUUUCCAAGAUCAAACACGGCGCUGACCAGGUCAUCGCACCCUGCACAAACA
Acanthochromis polyacanthus (spiny chromis) is the source of this 366-nucleotide long non-coding RNA. RefSeq lists it as uncharacterized. The record is from RefSeq and is a predicted model, not a curated record. Lineage: Eukaryota; Metazoa; Chordata; Actinopteri; Pomacentridae. The transcript is spliced from 3 exons.